GACGAACGCUGGCGGCGUGCUUAACACAUGCAAGUCGAACGGAAAGGCCCUGCUUUUGUGGGGUGCUCGAGUGGCGAACGGGUGAGUAACACGUGAGUAACCUGCCCCUGACUUUGGGAUAACUUCAGGAAACUGAGGCUAAUACCGGAUAGGAGCUCCUGCUGCAUGGUGGGGGUUGGAAAGUUUCGGCGGUUGGGGAUGGACUCGCGGCUUAUCAGCUUGUUGGUGGGGUAGUGGCUUACCAAGGCUUUGACGGGUAGCCGGCCUGAGAGGGUGACCGGCCACAUUGGGACUGAGAUACGGCCCAGACUCCUACGGGAGGCAGCAGUGGGGAAUAUUGCACAAUGGGCGGAAGCCUGAUGCAGCAACGCCGCGUGCGGGAUGACGGCCUUCGGGUUGUAAACCGCUUUCGCCUGUGACGAAGCGUGAGUGACGGUAAUGGGUAAAGAAGCACCGGCUAACUACGUG
This 468-nucleotide ribosomal RNA is filed under the name uncultured bacterium. RNAcentral describes it as "partial 16S ribosomal RNA". It matches the Rfam family "Bacterial small subunit ribosomal RNA", at positions 28 to 507 of the family's 1533-position model. The record is from RNAcentral.